Molecule: non-coding RNA, 420 nt
Organism: Haliaeetus leucocephalus (bald eagle)
Lineage: Eukaryota; Metazoa; Chordata; Aves; Accipitriformes; Accipitridae
Source: the annotation of a RefSeq genome assembly
AUGAAUAAGAUGAAGAUGAAGAUGAUGAUCAUGGUGGUGGUGGUGGGAUUCCCCUGGGGGCUGUGGGCGCAGCUGAGGCUGGUGGAGGACGGCGGAGGGCUGCGAGCGCCCGGGGAGACCGUGCGCCUCUCCUGCCGGGGAUCCGGCUUCAGCUUCGGGCUUUACGCAGUUUGGUGGUACCGUCAGGCGGCCGGCGGCAGUCUCGAGUGGGUGUCCUACAUUAGCGCUGAUACCUCAGUGAUUGAAUUGGGGCAGUCAGUGCAGGGUCGAGCCGCGGUAUCCCGGAACAGUUCCCGGUCCAUGUCAUUUCUGUCCCUGCGGGACCUGCAGCCCCGGGACUCUGCCCGCUACUUCUGCGCUGUUGCACGGGGACAGGAAAACCAGCUGAGCUUUAACACAAACCUCCUGCCAGGGUCCUAG